UACGUAGGGGGCAAGCGUUGUCCGGAUUUAUUGGGCGUAAAGAGCGUGUAGGCGGCUAGAUAGGUCCGUUGUGAAAACUCGAGGCUCAACCUCGAGACGCCGGUGGAAACCAUCUAGCUAGAGUCCGGAAGAGGAGAGUGGAAUUCCUGGUGUAGCGGUGAAAUGCGCAGAUAUCAGGAGGAACACCGGUGGCGAAGGCGGAUCUCUGGGCCGAUACUGACGCUGAGGAGCGAAAGCGUGGGGAGCGAACAGG
RNAcentral lists this ribosomal RNA (253 nucleotides) under uncultured bacterium. Its description in RNAcentral is "partial 16S ribosomal RNA". It matches the Rfam family "Bacterial small subunit ribosomal RNA", at positions 524 to 776 of the family's 1533-position model. The record is from RNAcentral.